UUUAAUUCGAAGCAACGCGAAGAACCUUACCAGGUCUUGACCAUCCCGAUGCUGUUCUAGAGAUAGAAAGUUACUUCGGUACAUCGGUGACAGGUGGUGCAUGGUUGUCGUCAGCUCGUGUCGUGAGAUGUUGGGUUAAGUCCCGCAACGAGCGCAACCCCUAUUGUUAGUUGCCAUCAUUCAGUUGGGCACUCUAGCGAGACUGCCGGUAAUAAACCGGAGGAAGGUGGGGAUGACGUCAAAUCAUCAUGCCCCUUAUGACCUGGGCUACACACGUGCUACAAUGGUUGGUACAACGAGUUGCGAGUCGGUGACGGCGAGCUAAUCUCUUAAAGCCAAUCUCAGUUCGGAUUGUAGGCUGCAACUCGCCUACAUGAAGUCGGAAUCGCUAGUAAUCGCGGAUCAGCACGCCGCGGUGAAUACGUUCCCGGGCCUU
RNAcentral lists this ribosomal RNA (436 nucleotides) under uncultured Streptococcus sp. Its description in RNAcentral is "bacterial SSU rRNA". It matches the Rfam family "Bacterial small subunit ribosomal RNA", at positions 945 to 1382 of the family's 1533-position model. The record is from RNAcentral. Lineage: Bacteria; Bacillati; Bacillota; Bacilli; Lactobacillales; Streptococcaceae.